UGAGCAAUCUGCCCUUCUCAUCGGAAUAAGCGUUGGAAACGACGUCUAAUGCCGAAUACGACCUCCUUUCGCAUGAUCGGAGGUGGAAAGCUCCGGCGGAGAAGGAUGAGCUCGCGGCCUAUCAGCUAGUUGGUGAGGUAACGGCCCACCAAGGCGACGACGGGUAGCCGGCCUGAGAGGGUGACCGGCCACACUGGGACUGAGACACGGCCCAGACCCUACGGGAGGCAGCAGG
Molecule: ribosomal RNA, 235 nt
Filed under: uncultured bacterium
Lineage: Bacteria
Description: partial 16S ribosomal RNA
Rfam family: Bacterial small subunit ribosomal RNA
Source: RNAcentral